Molecule: long non-coding RNA, 2315 nt
Filed under: Takifugu rubripes (torafugu)
Lineage: Eukaryota; Metazoa; Chordata; Actinopteri; Tetraodontiformes; Tetraodontidae
Description: lncRNA (ENSTRUG00000031977.1)
Source: RNAcentral
AUGUAUAACACUCGGAAAAUAUACUAUAUACAGUAUACUGUCAUCAAAUACCUGUAUUGGACAGGCAGGAAAUACAUUCACAGAGGCAGAUGCUCCUCCUGGGCUUGGAAGGGCUGGCCAACUGGGCUCAGAUGCACUUCAAGCCGGCAUAAUCCAGCCAGCUGCUCUUCAUACAUUCACAAGAACAACCCAAGACUUGGAAACCCUUCAACUCAGCAAGGUUAGCCUUCCCAAUACACUGCCACGGAGGAACUAUUAACAAGUCUGUUUUUUCUUAUGCACUUGAAGAAACCCAGUAAGGUAGUUGACUUUUUCCUUUAAAAGACUAAAGUAUCAAAGUAGCUUGUAAGAUUGGAGUGAAAGCUGAAUUGUACCUUCAGUGUUUGUUUCAUCCAAUAUUUGCCUGACUUGUAACACAUACAUAAAACUGAAAUAUCAGUCUGUCAAAAUUGUGAUAACCAAAAAUCACAAAUAAUUAUCCAUUAUUUUAAAUUUAAAAAAGAAAGAAGCUACAUAGUCAGAGAGCCAUAGUUACCAUUAUUAAGCCUUGGAAUAGGAACUGUCAAAAUACAAUACAUUGAGUUCAUAACUCUAUUUAAUAAUAAUUAUUGAUAAAAGUAUGACAAUCAUAAGAGCACCGAAAAUGGAUCUAAAGAAAUAUAUUACAACAUUUGAAUAAACAAUUAUUGGUUCAGAUUGGUUCAAACAUGCAUGCCUUCUUUACAUCAGUCUGACAUUUAGGUGCAUUAUCCUAUUUAAUAAUAAACUGUUGGGUUCCGGAUCACUUGUGGCUUGUUUCUCCCUGCAGGGGGGCGUGGAGGAGCCAAUCAUCAUCCACAGCAGGCGGACGCAUCUUUCCAUCAACCGUUCCAUUUAGAGACAGAGCACCCGUCUGCCAAGAGUGUUUUGUUCUCCUCAUGGUAACUUGCUAACGUUGUCACUCGGUUGAGGUCUCCACGCCUACCUGCGGACAUGAACUGCUCGGCGAACUAAUGGUCCGCAUUGGAUCCGCGCUGGAGCUCCCAGUGCGUCCUGGAGGACCAAUCGAGAGAUUCUCUGAAUGACCCAGCAGAACCUUGUGUACCUUGUGUUUCGAAUAAAGGCGCUUUUACGACACUAUUCCCCACUGUGUGUUGCCUGCUCUUGGGUCCUGAGACAACCAGUUCUAACAAACGACAUAUUUAGUCAUAUUUCUUGUCCUGAUUCUAAUCCUUCUCCAUCUUCUCAUAAUAGAGUAAAUAUGCUGUUUUCUGUCGCUGCUGGCACACGUGGUUAAAAGUCGUUUCUUUGACAAUGUCGUCAUCAUAUGUCACCCAGCAGGCAUUCCCAUCCCCUUGGCCUGCAUUUCGAUAAACUCCGUCACAAAUGUAAUGGCCUGUGAAGGAAGGAACUGCUUUGUUAGUGGUCAAACAAGGAGAACAUUGGUUUUCAACACAGUACUGACAGCUAAACACUGACCGCUGGUAGUGCAACUCCCCAAAUGGUUGACGAUGCUCUUCAGAGUAUAUUUUGUCUACAGAAAAUCAAAAGAACAAGCCAUUAGCUCCACUCUUUGAGCCAUUUCAGACUGAUGACUGCUUCAAGGUUUAUCAAGGGUUUACCUUCUCACUGCUCUGAUUUGUAUGGAGCAGCAGCUCCCUGGAUAAACAUGUGGCUUUGUGAAUUUUUUGCGCAGCAAAGUAGGACCACUUAAAUCUCAAUAGGUGGAUGAUCAGCACACUAUCGAGAAGAAAAGGGGAGGGAAGAGGAGAUGUAGAGACAGUUAGGGCCUUUAGAAGGCAGCAGAUGUGAGGAUGCUGAGAUGGCUGGUUCUCACUUUGGCAGAGUGAAGAAGGAUCUUUGCUCUGUCGUCUGGGAGGCGCCACAGUCACAUUUGUAAUCCAGCAGUUGCUCCUGCAGAAUCAACAACAGUCGUGAGGUUCAACAGCUCCUCCAUCAUUCACACAUGAACACCAAACAUGUGUCCCUUACUUUCAGGUACAGCUGUAUUCCUUGCAUGAUGGUGUCCUCAGGCGCCACGGACAGGUUCAAACACUCCUCCACAUUUUCAGAUUUAUGGCCACAACUGUGAAUUCAAGAGAGGAUUCAAAUAACUAAGGAUUCAACUAAACAAGUUCAACACCUAUGCAGGAGCAGAAGGUUUCCAGGUAUAUUCCCACCUGUGGCACAGCAUGGUGCUCAACAUCUGGAAGCUGAUGUGAGCCUCCACAGGGCAGGUGUAGCUCUGCUCUUUGUCAGUUGCCAUUGACCUGAGCUCUGUAGAGACGGAGCUGAGCUGUUCCAGGACGGUGUUCAAAAAUUCGUGGGCAUCCUGC